RNAcentral lists this long non-coding RNA (317 nucleotides) under Brassica napus (rape). RNAcentral describes it as "long non-coding RNA (BNAP_LNC015159)". Lineage: Eukaryota; Viridiplantae; Streptophyta; Magnoliopsida; Brassicales; Brassicaceae. The record is from RNAcentral.
GGGUUUAGGGUUUAGGAUUUAGGGUUUAGUGUUUUUAUUUAGAGUUUAGGAUUUAUCCAAGGGUUUAGGGUUUGCCCAAGGGUUUAGAGUUUAUCCAAGGGUUUAGGGUUUACCAGGUUUACCCAAGGGUUUAGGGUUUAGGAUUUAGGGUUUAGGGAUUAAGAUUUAGGGUUUAGUGUUUUGCUGACGACGCUAAAAAGAUUUUUUUAAUUCUUUUUUCUGUAACUGCUAUUUUUUUUUUUAAACAUAAUAUAACUUGAUAAUAUUUUGUUUCUUUUUUUAAAAGAUAUCGAAUUUGAAAUAAUGAAAUCCUAUUG